CGGGGUGUAGCGCAGUUGGUAGCGCGCUUGGUUCGGGACCAAGAGGCCGUGGGUUCAAAUCCCGUCACUCCGA
Molecule: transfer RNA, 73 nt
Filed under: Subdoligranulum variabile
Lineage: Bacteria; Bacillati; Bacillota; Clostridia; Eubacteriales; Oscillospiraceae
Also listed under: 5 other names
Description: tRNA-Pro
Rfam family: tRNA
About the family: Transfer RNA (tRNA) molecules are approximately 80 nucleotides in length.
Source: RNAcentral